Molecule: ribosomal RNA, 253 nt
Filed under: uncultured bacterium
Lineage: Bacteria
Description: partial 16S ribosomal RNA
Rfam family: Bacterial small subunit ribosomal RNA
Source: RNAcentral
UACGAAGGGGGCGAGCGUUGUUCGGAUUUACUGGGCGUAAAGGGCGCGUAGGCGGCGCCGCAAGUCGCGUGUGAAAGCCCCGGGCUCAACCUGGGAGGUGCGCGCGAGACUGUGGCGCUGGAGUUCGGGAGAGGAGCGUGGAAUUCCCAGUGUAGAGGUGAAAUUCGUAGAUAUUGGGAAGAACACCGGUGGCGAAGGCGGCGCUCUGGACCGAGACUGACGCUGAGGCGCGAAGGCGUGGGGAGCAAACAGG